CUCUCUCUCCUCUUUUAUUUCCCUCUAAAUUAGAUUCUGCACUACAAUUCCAUUGCUAAAGUUUCAAUCUGCACAACGACAUCCAUCGACCCUACCUUGCGAUCAAUCUGGAAUGCAAACGUCUUUGAUCUUCAAGGGAAUUGAACUCACUCCUCUUGGACUUAUUUGACGUGUCUCUCAUGAAAUCUCUUCAAUUGAUAUUUUUUUAAAAUUAUUAUUAAUUUUUUCUGUGAGUUUCUAUUCCUUAAUUAUUAAAUUUGCAUGUUAAAGAUCUAGAGAUAUAUCCUAAUCAUAGGUGGUUUCUUAAUCGCCUACGAUCC
Molecule: long non-coding RNA, 320 nt
Filed under: Elaeis guineensis (African oil palm)
Lineage: Eukaryota; Viridiplantae; Streptophyta; Magnoliopsida; Arecales; Arecaceae
Description: long non-coding RNA (EGUI_LNC029340)
Source: RNAcentral